This 255-nucleotide ribosomal RNA is filed under the name uncultured bacterium. RNAcentral's name for it is "partial 16S ribosomal RNA". It matches the Rfam family "Bacterial small subunit ribosomal RNA", at positions 524 to 776 of the family's 1533-position model. The record is from RNAcentral.
UACGUAGGGGGCAAGCGUUGUCCGGAUUUAUUGGGCGUAAAGAGCGUGUAGGCGGCCCGGUAAGUCCGCUGUAAAAGUCAAAGGCUCAACCUUUGAAUGUCAGUGGAUACUGCCGGGCUAGAGUCCGGAAGAGGCGAGUGGAACUCCUGGUGUAGCGGUGGAAUGCGCAGAUAUCAGGAAGAACACCAACGGCGAAGGCAGCUCGCUGGGGACGGUACUGACGCUGAGACGCGAAAGCGUGGGGGAGCGAACAGG